GUAAUUCCAGCUCCAAUAGCGUAUAUUAAAGUUGUUGCAGUUAAAAAGCUCGUAGUUGAACCUUGGGCCUGGCUGAUCUGUCCUCCUAAUCGAGCGCACGGAUUCGGUCGGGCCUUUCCUUCUGGGGAGCCGCAUGCCCUUCACUGGGCGUGUCGGGGAACCAGGACUUUUACCUUGAAAAAAUUAGAGUGUUCAAAGCAGGCCUUUGCUCGAAUACAUUAGCAUGGAAUAAUAGAAUAGGACAGAGGUUCUAUUUUGUUGGUUUCUAGGACCGCUGUAAUGAUUAAUAGGGAUAGUCGGGGGCGUCCGUAUUCAAUUGUCAGAGGUGAAAUUCUUGGAUUUAUUGAAGACGAACUACUGCGAAAGCAUUUACCAAGGAUGUUUUCAUUAAUCAAGAACGAAAGUUAGGGGAUCGAAGAUGAUUAGAUACCAUCGUAGUCUUAACCAUAAACUAUGCCGACUAGGGAUCGGACGGUGGUUUUUUUAUGCCCCGUUCGGCACCUUACGAGAAAUCAAAGUGUUUGGGCUCGGGGGGGAGUAUGGUCGCAAGGCUGAAACUUAAAGAAAUUG
RNAcentral lists this ribosomal RNA (570 nucleotides) under Goniomonas pacifica. RNAcentral describes it as "partial Eukaryotic small subunit ribosomal RNA". It matches the Rfam family "Eukaryotic small subunit ribosomal RNA", at positions 579 to 1155 of the family's 1831-position model. Lineage: Eukaryota; Cryptophyceae; Goniomonadida; Goniomonadaceae. The record is from RNAcentral.